GAUCCUGGCUCAGGAUGAACGCUGGCGGCGUGCCUAAUACAUGCAAGUCGAACGAGAGUGCUUGCACUCGAGUGGCGAACGGGUGAGUAACACGUAGGUAACCUGCCUUACAGUUUGGGAUACCCGAGGGAAACCUUGGCUAAUACCGGAUAAUUCUUUUGGAGGCAUCUCCAGAAGCUAAAAGGGGCCUUUAAAGCCUCGCUGAAUGAUGGACCUGCGGCGCAUUAGCUAGUUGGUGAGAUAACAGCCCACCAAGGCGAGGAUGCGUAGCCGACCUAAGAGGGUGAACGGCCACACUGGAACUGAGGCACGGUCCAGACUCCUACGGGAGGCAGCAGUAGGGAGUUUUCGGCAAUGGGGGAAACCCUGACCGAGCAACGCCGCGUGAACGAUGAAAGGUCUUCGGAUUGUAAAGUUCUGUUAUAAGGGAAGAAUGAUAGCUUGAGGAAAUGCUAGUUAUUUGACGGUACCUUAUUAGAAAGCCACGGCUAACUACGUGCCAGCAGCAGC
RNAcentral lists this ribosomal RNA (510 nucleotides) under uncultured bacterium. RNAcentral's name for it is "bacterial SSU rRNA". It matches the Rfam family "Bacterial small subunit ribosomal RNA", at positions 15 to 518 of the family's 1533-position model. The record is from RNAcentral.